Molecule: ribosomal RNA, 253 nt
Filed under: uncultured bacterium
Lineage: Bacteria
Description: partial 16S ribosomal RNA
Rfam family: Bacterial small subunit ribosomal RNA
Source: RNAcentral
UACGUAGGGUGCAAGCGUUGUCCGGAAUUAUUGGGCGUAAAGAGCUCGUAGGCGGUUUGUCGCGUCUGCUGUGAAAACCCGAGGCUCAACCUCGGGCCUGCAGUGGGUACGGGCAGACUAGAGUGCGGUAGGGGAGAUUGGAAUUCCUGGUGUAGCGGUGGAAUGCGCAGAUAUCAGGAGGAACACCAAUGGCGAAGGCAGCUCGCUGGGACGGUACUGACGCUGAGACGCGAAAGCGUGGGGAGCAAACAGG